UUUUUUUUUUUUGAAGUUUGCCCCAGUGUGAAAGUCUCUCUGUAAGUCAAAACCUUAGCAUUAUUUUAAUGUACUGUGCUGUAUUUAAUAAUCUUAUGCUUCAGACAUUAGUCUGUUACCAUGGGAAUGACAGCAGCAUAAAUACAGGAUUAUGGCUAUCAAGCAGGAGAAAAGAAAUUAUGAAUAAGCCUCGUUAUGUUCAAUAAUUAGCAGCUACAUGGAAAAAAACAAAACCAUGAAUUUAGGUUGAUGCAUUUAUCUCAGUGUUUGAAUACAACUCUGAGUGUGUUAUUGCUUUAAAAUGAGAUUCUAACAAACUGCCAAAAACUUCUUGACUAGCAGUUGUUACUCAGUGCUAUAAUUUAAAAAUUCAUCCUGUCCAUCUCUUUUUUCUCCUAUUUAUAUUCUUCCCCAGCAGAAGAUUGGUAACUAAUGGGUAAUACACAACAUUCCAAGAUAGAUUCUGGUAUCUUGAGCCAACAUAUCAGGAGAAUGGUACAGAAAAACUGAACAUUACCAGCCCCUCUACCUUAGCUAACUGCAAAAUGAACAACUUCCAAGGACUUGCUGCUACUCUCCCACAAAAUGAAAAGUCUAUGUAUCAAGAUGUAGAAUAGUACAGCUAAGCACAAGGCUCCUCCCCAGUCAAAGAGGAGCAGAGAGUGAAGAUCACUAUCAGUCUUCUUUCUUUGAGUUUCAGUCUCAUCAUCUUUGA
Molecule: long non-coding RNA, 715 nt
Filed under: Homo sapiens (human)
Lineage: Eukaryota; Metazoa; Chordata; Mammalia; Primates; Hominidae
Description: CADM1 antisense RNA 1
Source: RNAcentral